Long non-coding RNA from Raphanus sativus (radish), 273 nucleotides. RefSeq lists it as uncharacterized. The transcript has 2 exons. The record is from RefSeq and is a predicted model, not a curated record. NCBI's taxonomy places the organism in Eukaryota, Viridiplantae, Streptophyta, Magnoliopsida, Brassicales, Brassicaceae.
GUUACGGUUAACAUCUGAGCCGGUGCCGUGAAGAUGACAACGCGACGCACACGGUCGAGGAAGGAGGGAUUUGACGAGAAAGCCCAUAAGAAAUCAAGCACAACGAUUUUCAUGAGUCAAGAUUAACGAGACAGUCCAAAAAUGCCUUACACUUUAAUCAAGUUCGUCAUCAAGAAAGCUCCACCGACUCCAAUUCUGAGAAGUGUUGUCAGAUUUGCGUUUGUAUAAGGUCAAGUCAUUGUGAACGAGUUUGAUAACAAUUUUUUCGUUACC